RNAcentral lists this long non-coding RNA (238 nucleotides) under Phoenix dactylifera (date palm). Its description in RNAcentral is "long non-coding RNA (PDAC_LNC007616)". Lineage: Eukaryota; Viridiplantae; Streptophyta; Magnoliopsida; Arecales; Arecaceae. The record is from RNAcentral.
CCUAGGCGUAGGAUCGGCCGGUCCUACGACUUAUAUUCUGCUUACCGCCGGGCAUAGUAAGACCCCGCGAGGUGCAGUAUGGCUUUCCGCGGAUGUAGAAUUCCCGCGAGGUGCCGUUUAGUAUAUAGAUGUGAGAUGGAUUUCUGUUCUGGAUACUGGCCAGCAUUUACAUGAUCAGUGUGGUAUCUUAUCCUGCAUAUGCAUAUGACAGUAGGGAGUUGUUGCUGGUUCGCCUGGG